RNAcentral lists this ribosomal RNA (609 nucleotides) under Vishniacozyma victoriae. RNAcentral describes it as "eukaryotic LSU rRNA". It matches the Rfam family "Eukaryotic large subunit ribosomal RNA", at positions 53 to 652 of the family's 3401-position model. The record is from RNAcentral. Lineage: Eukaryota; Fungi; Basidiomycota; Tremellomycetes; Tremellales; Bulleribasidiaceae.
GAGGAAAAGAAACUAACUAGGAUUCCCUUAGUAACGGCGAGUGAACCGGGAUGAGCUCAAAUUUAAAAUCUGGCGUCUUUCAGGCGUCCGAGUUGUAAUCUAUAGAGGCGUUUUCCGCGCCGGACCGCGUCCAAGUCUCUUGGAAUAGAGUAUCAAAGAGGGUGACAAUCCCGUACUUGACGCGACAACCGGUGCUCUGUGAUACGUUCUCAAUGAGUCGAGUUGUUUGGGAAUGCAGCUCUAAAUGGGUGGUAAAUUCCAUCUAAGGCUAAAUAUUGGCGAGAGACCGAUAGCGAACAAGUACCGUGAGGGAAAGAUGAAAAGCACUUUGGAAAGAGAGUUAAACAGCACGUGAAAUUGUUAAAAGGGAAACGAUUGAAGUCAGUCGUGUGAAAGGUAUUCAGCCGUCUCUGGCGGUGUAUUUGCCUUUCACGGGUCAACAUCAGUUUGAUCCGGUAGAAAAAGGCGGGAGGAAGGUGGCACCCUCGGGUGUGUUAUAGCCUCCUGUCAUAUGUGCCGGACCAGACUGAGGAACGCAGCUUGCCGCAAGGCCGGGGUUCGCCCACGUACAAGCUUAGGAUGUUGACAUAAUGGCUUUAAACGACCCGU